GGGCUACGAGUUUAACUCCCAACCCCUGUGACAUACCACUUGUUGCCUCGGCGGAUCAGCCCGCUCCCGGUAAAACGGGACGGCCCGCCAGAGGACCCCUAAACUCUGUUUCUAUAUGUAACUUCUGAGUAAAACCAUAAAUAAAUCAAAACUUUCAACAACGGAUCUCUUGGUUCUGGCAUCGAUGAAGAACGCAGCAAAAUGCGAUAAGUAAUGUGAAUUGCAGAAUUCAGUGAAUCAUCGAAUCUUUGAACGCACAUUGCGCCCGCCAGUAUUCUGGCGGGCAUGCCUGUUCGAGCGUCAUUUCAACCCUCAAGCACAGCUUGGUGUUGGGACUCGCGUUAAUUCGCGUUCCUCAAAUUGAUUGGCGGUCACGUCGAGCUUCCAUAGCGUAGUAGUAAAACCCUCGUUACUGGUAAUCGUCGCGGCCACGCCGUUAAACCCCAACUUCUGAAUGUUGACCUCGGAUCAGGUAGGAAUACCCGCUGAACUUAAGCAUAUCAAAAGACGGAGGAAGU
This 518-nucleotide ribosomal RNA is filed under the name Fusarium oxysporum. RNAcentral describes it as "eukaryotic LSU rRNA". The stretch from base 150 to 303 matches the Rfam family "5.8S ribosomal RNA". Lineage: Eukaryota; Fungi; Ascomycota; Sordariomycetes; Hypocreales; Nectriaceae. The record is from RNAcentral.